RNAcentral lists this ribosomal RNA (398 nucleotides) under uncultured bacterium. RNAcentral describes it as "bacterial SSU rRNA". It matches the Rfam family "Bacterial small subunit ribosomal RNA", at positions 362 to 776 of the family's 1533-position model. The record is from RNAcentral.
UAUUGCGCAAUAGGGGAAACUCUGACGCAGUGACGCCGCGUAUAGGAAGAAGGUUUUCGGAUUGUAAACUAUUGUCAUUAGGGAAGAUAAAAGACUGUACCUAAGGAGGAAGCCCCGGCUAACUAUGUGGCAGCAGCCGCGGUAAUACAUAGGGGGCAAGCGUUAUCCGGAAUUAUUGGGUGUAAAGGGUGCGUAGACGGAAGAACAGGUUGGUUGUGAAAUCCCUCGGCUCAACUGAGGAACUGCAACCAAAACUAUUCUCCUUGAGUGUCGGAGAGGAAAGUGGAAUUCCUAGUGUAGCGGUGAAAUGCGUAGAUAUUAGGAGGAACACCAGUGGCGAAGGCGACUUUCUGGACGAUAACUGACGUUGAGGCACGAAAGUGUGGGGAGCAAACAGG